Molecule: non-coding RNA, 1252 nt
Organism: Doryrhamphus excisus (bluestripe pipefish)
Lineage: Eukaryota; Metazoa; Chordata; Actinopteri; Syngnathiformes; Syngnathidae
Source: RefSeq, a predicted model, not a curated record
CAUUUAGCAUUCUGAGCGUACGUCAAAAUGUAGUCGUAAGUCGCGAGUACCCGGAUGUUACACAGAUCACGAUAAGCACACUCAAUCAUCGCCAUCUUGGCUCCGUAGGCGGGAACAGGAACAAGGAACACGACCGACUCGAGUAGUUGUAAAGAAGACGCAGUUCGACAUUGUGCCUGUGAAUAUUGUCAUUCAUCCAGUUUAUUGGUAUUCAAUCGCUCGUAACCGGACUGUUCGGGCUGUUUUAGAAGACAUUUCGCAGAGUUAAACAUUGUGAACGUCAUUUCCGGCAGGCAGGAAGAGGGUUCACUCUUUUCAGCCCCUGUUUCAUAAAUCAAAGUCUGAAACAAAGUGAGCCCUCUCGUGAGGAGCGAUGCAACGUAACGUAGGAGAAGUCAGGAAGGAAAAAGCAAAAUCCCCACAGCCCCAGUGAGGGCAUAUUGCAGCUUCAAACCAGAUGAGCAAGGUGUUCGAUAGAGAGCCUUUUGACAUACUGUAUAUGCAUAAGGUACACCAGCUGCACAGUGGCUCAGAGGAAAGCGUUCCAGAGGGUCAUCAACACACCAGAAGAUCACUGACUGCCCUCUCCUCAGCUCGGAAGAACUACACAGUUCCCGCUGUCUCAAAAGAGCCCAGAACAUUAUCAAGGACACAUCACACCCAGCUUCUACCCCACAGCAAUAACGAAACUUAAUAAUAGCCAAAAUAGUUCUCAUGCUACAGGUAACCCAAUAAAUAUUUAUUUAUGUUUAUGUCUAUUUAGGCUUUUUAUGUGUUUUUAGGAUGAAUGUGAGUGUGAAUGGUUGUUUGUCUAUAUGUGCCCUGUGAUUGGCUGGCAACCAGUCCAGGGUGUACCCCACCUCUCGCCCGAAGACAGCUGGGAUAGGCUCCAGCACCCCCCGCGACCCUCGUGAGGAAAAAGUGGUAGAAAAUGAAUGAAUGAAUGAAUGAAUAAUGUGUUUUUAGGCUCUUUUAUAGCUUUUAUAUAUGGUCUUCAAUGAUGCACUGACUGGUAUGCACUUUCAUUUUGUUGUAUCAUAACAAUGACAAUAAAGUUAUUCUAUUCUAUUCUAAAUUAUUAAUGAAAUAAUGUGUAAAUAUUACAAUAUAAAGUCAACAAAUAAUUGAAACCAAAUGGAUAAAAAAAUCCACACAAAUGACUGAGGUCAUGUUGUAUCAAUGAUAGCGGCACUCCGGGGCAUCAUCUUCACCACGAGGAUGGUUCCUGGAGUUCACAUUCCAGCCGGCUUAA